RNAcentral lists this ribosomal RNA (468 nucleotides) under uncultured bacterium. RNAcentral's name for it is "partial 16S ribosomal RNA". It matches the Rfam family "Bacterial small subunit ribosomal RNA", at positions 28 to 507 of the family's 1533-position model. The record is from RNAcentral.
GACGAACGCUGGCGGCGUGCUUAACACAUGCAAGUCGAACGGAAAGGCCCUGCUUUUGUGGGGUGCUCGAGUGGCGAAAGGGUGAGUAACACGUGAGUAACCUGCCCUUGACUUUGGGAUAACUUCAGGAAACUGGGGCUAAUACCGGAUAGGAGCUCCUGCUGCAUGGUGGGGGUUGGAAAGUUUCGGCGGUUGGGGAUGGACUCGCGGCUUAUCAGCUUGUUGGUGGGGUAGUGGCUUAACAAGGCUUUGACGGGUAGCCGGCCUGAGAGGGUGACCGGCCACAGUGGGACUGAGAUACGGCCCAGACUCCUACGGGAGGCAGCAGUGGGGAAUAUUGCACAAUGGGCGGAAGCCUGAUGCAGCAACGCCGCGUGCGGGAUGACGGCCUUCGGGUUGUAAACCGCUUUCGCCUGUGACGAAGCGUGAGUGACGGUAAUGUGUAAAGAAGCACCGGCUAACUACGUG